This 359-nucleotide ribosomal RNA is filed under the name uncultured bacterium. RNAcentral describes it as "bacterial SSU rRNA". It matches the Rfam family "Bacterial small subunit ribosomal RNA", at positions 917 to 1271 of the family's 1533-position model. The record is from RNAcentral.
GGGUCCGCACAAGCGGUGGGAGCAUGUGGUUAAUUCGAUGAUACGCGAGGAACCUUACCUGGGCUCGAAUGGUAUUGGCUGAUAGCUGAAAGGCUGUUUUCCUUCGGGACUGAUAUCAAGGUGCUGCAUGGCUGUCGUCAGCUCGUGCCGUGAGGUGUUGGUUAAGUCCCGCAACGAGCGCAACCCCUAUUCCUAGUUGCCAGCAUGUAAAGAUGGGGACUCUAGGGAGACUGCCGGCGUAAGCCGCGAGGAAGGUGGGGAGCGACGUCAAAGUCAUCAUGGGCCUUUAUGCCCAAGGGCUACACACGUGGCUACAAUGGCGCAUACAGAGGGUUGCGAAACUGUGGAAGUGGAGCUAA